Molecule: ribosomal RNA, 983 nt
Filed under: Copepoda environmental sample
Lineage: Eukaryota; Metazoa; Arthropoda; Copepoda
Description: SSU rRNA
Rfam family: Eukaryotic small subunit ribosomal RNA
Source: RNAcentral
UCAACUGUCGACUGUGGCAUAGACGCCCACAGUGGUUUUGACGGGUAACGGGGAAUCAGGGUUCGAUUCCGGAGAGGGAGCCUGAGAAACGGCUACCACUUCUAAGGAAGGCAGCAGGCACGCAAAUUACCCACUGGUCGAAGACCGAGGUAGUGACGAAAAAUAACGAUACCAGACUCAUCCGAGGCCUGGUAAUCGGAAUGAGUACACUUUAAAGCCUUUAACGAGGAACAAUUGGAGGGCAAGUCUGGUGCCAGCAGCCGCGGUAAUUCCAGCUCCAAUAGCGUAUAUUAAUGUUGUUGCGGUUAAAAAGCUCGUAGUUGGAUCUCGGCGGGCAGGGGACGGUUCGUUAUUCGACGCUACUGUCCCAUUUGCCCGUGUUUUUGGGCGGAGGUUUCGGGGUGCUCUUAACCGAGUGUCCCGAGGCGCCGUCCGGUUUACUUUGAAAAAAUUAGAGUGCUCAGCGCAGGCUUUCCACGCUUGAAUAUUUGUGCAUGGAAUAAUGGAAUAGGACGUCGUUUCUAUUUUGUUGGUUUUGAGAAAUCGACGUAAUGAUCAAUAGGGACAGUCGGGGGCAUUAGUAUUCAGGCGACAGAGGUGAAAUUCUUGGACCGCCUGAAGACUCACUACUGCGAAGGCAUUUGCCAAGAAUGUUUUCAUUAAUCAAGAACGAAAGUUAGAGGUUCGAAGGCGAUCAGAUACCGCCCUAGUUCUAACCAUAAACGAUGCCAGCUAGCGAUCCGAGGACGUUUUUAUUGUAGGCUCCUCGGGAAGCUUCCGGGAAACCAAAGCUUUUGGGUUCCGGGGGAAGUAUGGUUGCAAAGCUGAAACUUAAAGGAAUUGACGGAAGGGCACCACCAGGAGUGGAGCCUGCGGCUUAAUUUGACUCAACACGGGAAAUCUCACCAGGCCCGGACACUGGCAGGAUUGACAGAUUGAGAGCUCUUUCUCGAUUCGGUGGGUGGUGGUGCAUGCCCGUUCUU